UACGAAGGGGGCGAGCGUUGUUCGGAUUUACUGGGCGUAAAGGGCGCGCAGGCGGCGAUCUUUGUCAGGCGUGAAAGCCCCGGGCUUAACCUGGGAACUGCGCUUGGGACGGGAUUGCUGGAGACCGGGAGAGGAGAGUGGAAUUCCCAGUGUAGAGGUGAAAUUCGUAGAUAUCGGGAGGAAUACCGAUGGCGAAGGCAGGUCUCUGGGCUAUAACUGACGCUCAUGCACGAAAGCGUGGGGAGCAAACAGG
Molecule: ribosomal RNA, 253 nt
Filed under: uncultured bacterium
Lineage: Bacteria
Description: partial 16S ribosomal RNA
Rfam family: Bacterial small subunit ribosomal RNA
Source: RNAcentral